GAUCCGUAACUUUGGGAAAAGGAUUGGAUCUAAGGGUUGGGUCUGUCGGGCUGGGACUUGAAGCGUGAGGAUUCGGCGUGGACUGAGAGAGAUGCGUGACUCGCUGCGCGUUGAAGUCGGACUGCGAAGGGACUUCCGUGGAUUGGCUCAGCUGUGACCGUCAGGUCGAUUCGGCAGGCGAUUAACAACCAACUUGGAAUUGGAAC
This is a non-coding RNA of Paramuricea clavata, 206 nucleotides long. The record is from the annotation of a GenBank genome assembly. NCBI's taxonomy places the organism in Eukaryota, Metazoa, Cnidaria, Anthozoa, Malacalcyonacea, Plexauridae.